RNAcentral lists this ribosomal RNA (253 nucleotides) under uncultured bacterium. RNAcentral describes it as "partial 16S ribosomal RNA". It matches the Rfam family "Bacterial small subunit ribosomal RNA", at positions 524 to 776 of the family's 1533-position model. The record is from RNAcentral.
UACGUAGGGUGCAAGCGUUGUCCGGAAUUAUUGGGCGUAAAGAGCUCGUAGGCGGUUUGUCGCGUCUGCUGUGAAAACUCGGGGCUUAACUCCGGGCCUGCAGUGGGUACGGGCAGACUAGAGUGCGGUAGGGGAGACUGGAAUUCCUGGUGUAGCGGUGAAAUGCGCAGAUAUCAGGAGGAACACCGAUGGCGAAGGCAGGUCUCUGGGCUGACACUGACGCUGAGGAGCGAAAGCGUGGGGAGCAAACAGG